ACCUGUUGAAGGCAGCUUUCUAGCUCUUUGAGCUUCAUAUGUCCAUCAGAUGAUCAGCUCAUUCAGUCUGUUUCUGUUGGUCACACUAAUGUUAGUAGAUGAGAAACGUCGACUGAUCAUGAUGUCACGAGCGAUCUUCAGACUUCUGCUGAUCUCGUCAGCUGAGAGUAUUAGCGCUAUCUGCUGUCUGAUUACUGCCAGGGCGCACAGUCAGCAUUAUGGUUCCCAAAGGCAUGGGCCGUCACUGAAAGGGUGAAAGGUGGUGAUGAUUAUAGGUGCCCAGGCCCCCCCUGCGACCUCCACCAACUGGCUGAGGCAAGCCUAAAAAGACACACAGGGGCAGGGGCGUGUCUAGGGGGAGGCUGGGGGAGGCAGUGCCUCCCCUAGGAUAAGCCCUGCCUCCCCGAGAAACGGACUGUCCCUCUGAUGAUAAAUAAACAUUUAAAAGUUGA
Molecule: long non-coding RNA, 452 nt
Organism: Carassius gibelio (silver crucian carp)
Lineage: Eukaryota; Metazoa; Chordata; Actinopteri; Cypriniformes; Cyprinidae
Exons: 3
Source: RefSeq, a predicted model, not a curated record